Lolium rigidum is the source of this 1058-nucleotide long non-coding RNA. RefSeq lists it as uncharacterized. The record is from RefSeq and is a predicted model, not a curated record. The transcript is spliced from 4 exons. NCBI's taxonomy places the organism in Eukaryota, Viridiplantae, Streptophyta, Magnoliopsida, Poales, Poaceae.
UCGCAAUCCGCGACUCGCUCUCGCGACACUGGAGGCGGCGACGCUGCGAGCACGCCGCGAUCUCCUUCCUCCGGCGGCGACCGGACGAGAGCUCAGAUCGGAGCUAGUCUUCCUCCCCUUCACCUCUCCCUCUCCCUCUCUCGCAUCUCGCCUCUCCCCUCUCCAUCAGGUCGUCUUCCUCGUCCAAGAUCUGGUCGGUAUGCGCCAGAUCAUGCUCCCGCGACGACAGGAAGAUGACGGCGGCGGACGCUGAUGGGGGCGAGCGGGGGAAGUCUUGGUACCUCAGCAAGGAGGAGAUCGAGCGCGGGUCGCCCUCGAGGCAGGACGGCGUGGGCGCCGGCAAGGAGGCCCAGCUCCGGGCCACCUACUGCUCUUCAUCCGCGACGUCGCCCUCAGGGUCUGUCUCUGACGAAAGCUGCGACUUUUGUUACCUAGAUCACAAUCGCGACGGGGAUCAUCCUCUGCCACUGCUUCUACCUCCACCAGUCCCAUGCCAAGAACGAGUAGCAGAGAUUCCCUCCUCCACGCUCACUGCUGCCACCCCGAAGUCUGAACCCUAGCGCCCCAGCGACAGGCAUGCCUACAACGAAGAUCAUGUGGAGAGAGCUCGAGGAGGACGACGGGGCAACCUCGACUUCCUGCUCCUGCCCCACGUCGUCGUCGGGCCCAACGAGAACAGGUUCAAGAAGACGACCGAGUACCGCUUCGACGCUGACGGCAACAAGGCCAAGGUCAUCAGCACCACCCGCGUCCGCCUCUCCAAGGCGGCCGUCGAGCGUCGCAACUGGUCCAAGUUCGGCGACACCGCCGCACGGCUCAACGUCGUCUCCACCGAGGAGAUCCUCCUCGGUGCCCACACGCCCCAGGAGGAUGGGCGGAGGGUGCGCGCUCGAGGAAAAGCGUCCAUGUCGUCGGCCAUGGCGGGCCUGCUCCCCAUGGACGAGGUCCGUUGGAUGUGGUCACGGGAAAGGGUGGGAGGAAGAGGAGGAAGAGUGUGAGCUCACCGUGGUCGAUCGGCAGGCUUGAAGAUGUCGGUGGUGAACUGUGGCUCCUCCACG